This is a non-coding RNA of Macaca mulatta (Rhesus monkey), 2159 nucleotides long. NCBI's taxonomy places the organism in Eukaryota, Metazoa, Chordata, Mammalia, Primates, Cercopithecidae. The record is from RefSeq and is a predicted model, not a curated record.
AAUUAGGGUGAUCUCAAGUCUAAUCAGGUUCAUUCUAGAACAGGAUGCCUUUCAGGUUUCUUGGAGCCCUUGGCCAGCAAGACUUGACUCUUCCUUCCUGGCUGUCUCACUGUGGAUGAGUUACUUAUCUUCCAUGAACCUCAGUUUUCAUCCAUGAAAUGGGGAUGAUAAUAGUACCAAUCUCGUAGGAUUGUGAUGGCAGUUAAGUGAAAUAAUACAUAAGCAGCACUGGCGUACUGCCUGGCGCACAGGAAGGGACGCUCAGUCAUUCUGGGCUGUCACGUGGUUCUGCGGCAGCAGCCAACUCUAAGUCUUCUUUGCCUCAAAACCCAUUAUUGUCUCUGUCCUGCAGAUGGGAAAACUCAGACCAGGAGCCAGGCCUGGUAUCCCAGACUCUUACCCUUUGGCAGACUGGACCAGCUUUCCCCCUUUCCUAGCACAAUGAAUGGGGAAGAGUGUGGGGUCCUGAGGCAUCUGGAGGAUUCUGGAGGGCCCAUCCGUCUCUCUUGGUGAGUAUCACAGAACCCCAAGGCCUCUGAAACCACCAAGUCCCAUGAAGAAGGUUCAGAGAUGGGGAGGCUGAGGCCACAACAGGGGAGCCGUGCAGAAGAGCUAUCUGCAUGUUUGUCUUCCCCAUUUGAAAGCGAGCUCCCGCCUUGAAGCCAGAGGCCAUGGAGCUGGCGUUGUCCCAGCUCCAUGCUGGGAUGUGAACCAGGUGUGAAUGAAUCCUUGUAGCCACGUAGAGACAUCGGGAAGGCUGACACAUCCAGGAGGACCCCAAACUCUACAUCCCUACUCUGAAACCUGAUCAGAACCCCACCACUAUCAUUUGCAAUAUGCUAGCACCCUCAAAGGGUGUAGUGUGAGAGGUGGGGCAGAGAACCUGGCGGUGCAGGAUGUACGGAGCAGGCGCAUUACCUCUCUCCAUCAUCACAUCCUCCUCACACUCCCCUCACAGGUGGGGCAGGGCCAAAGUGCCAUUCAACACAUGGAGAAAUGGAGCGGCACUAGAGAGGUAAGGGGGCUGUUACACACGGCUGUUUCCAUAGAAAAACCAAGACCUAUCGAUCUACAGAGAAAGCAUGGAGACAGAAAAGCAGAAAGUCAAGAGAGAAGAAACCUCAGGAUUUCCAGCCACUAGAGAAGACUCAUUGGCCUGGACAAAUCCCAACUUCCCUCAACUUUCCUGAACCCUCGCCUUAAGUGGCUUCCAGUAAGCUCCCAAACCUGGGUGGCGCCUGCACACCCCAGGGCAAGCCAGGCUGACCUCCUCAGAGCCUGAGUCAGGGCUUUCCCCAUCUCAGCACCCAUCCCACUGAACUGGAAUUUCAAGGUCACUUGUCUGUCUCUUCCUCUGGACCUGAAGGCAGAGGCUGCAUCCAGAGCUUCCUGGAAUCCCCUACAAGGCCUGGCAUAGCGACAGGCAAAGUUCGGUGAGCCAUGCAUAAAUGGAAUCAGGCCUCUCAGUCCCCUUGUCUGUGAAAUAAGACAUGUGGGCCAGGCGAUGACUGCCAUCUCUUCCAACCUUGGGUGGGCCCCCCACCGUGUCACCAUGACCCAUUGUGUGUGUGUGCCGCGGAGUCAGGGGAGGCACCAGGUUCCUGGAUGUAACCAAAGGCCCUCAGGGCCUGGUGGACGGUCCUGCACAGUGGGAGGAGUUGGUCAUCUGGCCUCAGCUGACCCUGGCUUGUGGUUUUCACGAACUUAGGAAAAGAAAACUCAGCUUGGGGAGCUGGGCAGAGAGCAGGAGUCCCAGCCUGGUGUGGCUGCAUUAGAGUCAGGUCCCUGCAGUCCCACCAGGGAUUCCAUGGGUGCUCUCCUGCUGUCCUCUAAUGCCCAGGAGCUCACGGUGGGGUUUGCUUUACUUCUGACUGAGGCAGAACUGCAAGCAUCUGCCCUAUUUGAUGCACAGAGAGAGUGCAACUUACUGGACUUACUGCAGGAGCCGCAUCCAACAACAGAGCAGAUGGAUCCAGGAAGAAGGAGCGCAUGCCAACAAGUGAGAAAGUACCUCGGGGACAAUGUUCCGGUCAAGUCGUUUGAGUGUGUGACCUGAAGCCCUCAUGCAAACCUCCACUGACUCCCUCUCCUAGGUCCCUUCCAAAACAUUCCAGGGACCGUGCUAAUAAGAGGAGCUAGUUAUUUCUGUUCGUGUUCAA